This 492-nucleotide ribosomal RNA is filed under the name uncultured bacterium. RNAcentral's name for it is "bacterial SSU rRNA". It matches the Rfam family "Bacterial small subunit ribosomal RNA", at positions 903 to 1397 of the family's 1533-position model. The record is from RNAcentral.
AAAGGAAUAGACGGGGGCCCGCACAAGCAGUGGAGUAUGUGGUUUAAUUCGAAGCAACGCGAAGAACCUUACCAGGUCUUGACAUCCCGGUGACCGUCCUAGAGAUAGGAUUUCCCUUCGGGGCACCGGUGACAGGUGGUGCAUGGUUGUCGUCAGCUCGUGUCGUGAGAUGUUGGGUUAAGUCCCGCAACGAGCGCAACCCCUACUAUUAGUUGCUACAUUCAGUUGAGCACUCUAAUGGGACUGCCGUUGACAAAACGGAGGAAGGUGGGGACGACGUCAAAUCAUCAUGCCCUUUAUGACCUGGGCUACACACGUACUACAAUGGCGAUUAACAGAGGGAAGCAAGAUAGCAAUAUGGAGCAAACCCCUAAAAGUCGUCUCAGUUCAGAUUGUGGGCUGCAACUCGCCCACAUGAAGUAGGAAUUGCUAGUAAUCGCGGAUCAGAAUGCCGCGGUGAAUACGUUCCCGGGCCUUGCACACACCGCCCGU